CACGUAUUCCCCAAGGUGUCUACAGCAUUGUGACAUAUUUUUACGCAUUUCCAUUAAAGAAUAGCCGCAAGGGAGCAUAUUUAGCAAGUGGUCACAUGGUGUCUCCCGCAGAAAAUCUUGCGUAAAAUACUGAGGUAAGCCAUUUUUCCAAUCGCUUCUUAUAAGAAACCAAUUGCCUCGACGGAUAUAUUAUCAAAUAUAUAUGUUAAAAACACCUUGAGGAUGGAUCCUAAACAACGUUUGCCGUGUUUCUGUCGAUAUUAUGGAGCUAAUUUUGAAAAAAGUUUGGCGUUGUAGUGGUAGCAUUUUCCGGUCGAUUUCUCAGCCAAGCAUGAUGAACAAACUGGAGCUAUUUCACCUACAAAAAUAAUAUUUUGGGAAAAAAGGAACAUUUGCUAUCUAACUGGGAGUCUCCUGAGUGAAAACAUCCGAAGUUCUUCAAAGCAAUACUUUGCCCUGACAAGAAAGAGCUGUUUGAAAAUGUCUCCCUGUCAAGACGAAGAAUAACACGUUGUGAUGAGGACAUCGCAGAGAAUAUGGAACAACAAGGAAAUGGCUUCCUGAAAUCCCUCAAGCAGCUGAUUGGUCGACUCCAG
This is a long non-coding RNA of Oncorhynchus tshawytscha (Chinook salmon), 596 nucleotides long. The record is from Ensembl. NCBI's taxonomy places the organism in Eukaryota, Metazoa, Chordata, Actinopteri, Salmoniformes, Salmonidae.